CAAUAGCGUAUAUUUAAGUUGUUGCAGUUAAAAGCUCGUAGUUGGAUUUCGGUUAAGAGCGACCGGUCCGCCGUUUGGUGUGCACUGGUUGGUUUUAACUUCCUGUAGAGGACGUGCUCUGGGCUUAACGGUCUGGACUCGGAGUCUACGUGGUUACUUUGAAAAAUUAGAGUGUUUAAAGCAGGCUAUUGCCUUGAAUACAUUAGCAUGGAAUAAUAAUCUAGGACUUCGGUUCUAUUUUGUUGGUUUCUAGUACUGAAGUAAUGAUUGAUAGGGAUAGUUGGGGGUGGCUAGUAUUGACCGGCCAGAGGUGAAAUUACUUGGAUUCGGUCAAGACUAACUUAUGCGAAAGACAUUCACCAAGGAUGUCUUCUUUAAUUCAAGAACGAAAGUUGGGGGAUCGAAGAUGAUUAGAUACCAU
This 421-nucleotide ribosomal RNA is filed under the name uncultured eukaryote. Its description in RNAcentral is "bacterial SSU rRNA". It matches the Rfam family "Eukaryotic small subunit ribosomal RNA", at positions 592 to 1018 of the family's 1831-position model. The record is from RNAcentral.